GAUUACAGAGUGAAUAUCUUUCUUCGUCAGAAAUGGAAUGAUCCCCGCCUCGCGUACAGUGAAUAUCCUGACGACUCUUUAGACCUCGACCCCUCCAUGUUGGACUCCAUUUGGAAACCUGAUUUGUUCUUUGCCAAUGAAAAGGGUGCCAACUUUCAUGAAGUCACUACAGACAACAAAUUGCUAAGAAUUUUCAAAAAUGGAAAUGUUCUUUAUUCAAUAAGUAUGAGUUCAAAUGAAACAGAUGGUCUCUGGGCUCCUAGUUUUUGUUUGCUGUAUCCUGGCUUGCACAAUCAAAAAAUUCAUUUUUUCUGAGUUGUUUUUGAAAAUCUCACAGGACUUUGAAAUCUUCAAAUGCUUCUUAUCUUCAGUUUCUUUGUUAACAAAAAUUGUGCUAGAAAAAGAAAAAAUCUUGUUGAAUUUACAAAUGGAGCAUCUGUUAUGUUUCAUGAGAGAUCUGGCUUUCCUGCUCUUUUAAAGAAAGAAGAAGCAGGUCCUUGCAAAGACGACUAAUUGAACUUACAUAUUUAUCUGUAUUUCCUCUGAAACCCCAUUAAAAAAAGGAAAUAAACGGAAUAAAGAAUAAA
RNAcentral lists this small RNA (587 nucleotides) under Pongo abelii (Sumatran orangutan). RNAcentral's name for it is "processed transcript". Lineage: Eukaryota; Metazoa; Chordata; Mammalia; Primates; Hominidae. The record is from RNAcentral.